This 487-nucleotide ribosomal RNA is filed under the name uncultured bacterium. RNAcentral's name for it is "partial 16S ribosomal RNA". It matches the Rfam family "Bacterial small subunit ribosomal RNA", at positions 28 to 507 of the family's 1533-position model. The record is from RNAcentral.
GAUGAACGCUAGCGAUAGGCUUAACACAUGCAAGUCGAGGGGCAGCACAAGGUAGCUUGCUAUCUGGGUGGCGACCGGCGCACGGGUGCGUAACGCGUAUGCAACUUUCCCUAUACAGGAGGAUAAACCGUCGAAAGACGGACUAAUACUGCGUAUGCUCACAACUUGGCAUCAAGUGGUGAGGAAAGAAAUUCGGUAUAGGAUAGGCAUGCGUCCCAUUAGCUUGUUGGUGAGGUAACGGCUCACCAAGGCAACGAUGGGUAGGGGAACUGAGAGGUUUAUCCCCCACACUGGUACUGAGACACGGACCAGACUCCUACGGGAGGCAGCAGUGAGGAAUAUUGGUCAAUGGGCGCGAGCCUGAACCAGCCAAGUCGCGUGAAGGAUGACUGUCCUAUGGAUUGUAAACUUCUUUUAUACGGGAAUAACAAGAGUCACGUGUGACUCCCUGCAUGUACCGUAUGAAUAAGCAUCGGCUAACUCCGUG